RNAcentral lists this ribosomal RNA (315 nucleotides) under uncultured Actinomycetes bacterium. RNAcentral's name for it is "bacterial SSU rRNA". It matches the Rfam family "Bacterial small subunit ribosomal RNA", at positions 28 to 351 of the family's 1533-position model. The record is from RNAcentral. Lineage: Bacteria; Bacillati; Actinomycetota; Actinomycetes.
GACGAACGCUGGCGGCGUGCUUAACACAUGCAAGUCGAGCGGUAAGGCCCUUUCGGGUACACGAGCGGCGAACGGGUGAGUAACACGUGGGUGACCUGCCCUCCACUUCGGGAUAAGCCUGGGAAACUGGGUCUAAUACCGGAUAUGACCUUGAAGCGCAUGUUUCUUGGUGGAAAGUUUUUCGGUGGGGAUGGGCCCGCGGUCUAUCAGCUUGUUGUGGGGUGAUGGCCUACCAAGGCGACGACGGAUAGCCGGCCUGAGAGGUGAUCGGCCACACUGGGACUGAGACACGGCCCAGACACCUACGGGUGGCAG